AACCGCCCGGGUGAAGUGCUCACCGAUAUCCAUGCGCUUGCGGAUCAAUUCCUUAUUGUGUUCCCAAAUAUCAACAAGCAUUUCUGGCGCCGUUGCCGGGGAGAAAGACGGUUGCUGAGAUAACCUGAGUCUUGCUAUUAGCUUGUAUCUAUACUUUUAUCUUUUCUUAUCUUUUAUAUUCUUUAUUUAUUUUCUUUAUUCUUACCUUAUGGAAAACCAAAAUUCUAAAUCGAUCCAUGAGUCUGCAAUCCCUUUAGCAACUGACCUUUUACCAUGGGAAUCAUCACAGCCUAUCCAAACAUCCCACUAUAAGUUAAGUUCUAGGUUGAUUGCCAUGAUUCAAAACCUAUCUUUUUUGGGAAAGGAAGACGAAAACCCUUACCUUCAUAUUAG
This 393-nucleotide long non-coding RNA is filed under the name Sorghum bicolor (sorghum). RNAcentral describes it as "long non-coding RNA (SBIC_LNC010366)". Lineage: Eukaryota; Viridiplantae; Streptophyta; Magnoliopsida; Poales; Poaceae. The record is from RNAcentral.